Molecule: ribosomal RNA, 426 nt
Filed under: uncultured bacterium
Lineage: Bacteria
Description: bacterial SSU rRNA
Rfam family: Bacterial small subunit ribosomal RNA
Source: RNAcentral
GGACCCGCACAAGCGGUGGAGCAUGUGGUUUAAUUCGAUGCAACGCGAAGAACCUUACCUGGUCUUGACAUCCUGCGAACUUUCUAGAAAUAGAUUGGUGCCUUCGGGAACGCAGUGACAGGUGCUGCAUGGCUGUCGUCAGCUCGUGUCGUGAGAUGUUGGGUUAAGUCCCGUAACGAGCGCAACCCCCUAUCCUUAUUUGCCAGCACAUUAUGGUGGGAACUAUAAGGAGACUGCCGGUGAUAAACCGGAGGAAGGCGGGGACGACGUCAAGUCAUCAUGGCCCUUACGACCAGGGCUACACACGUGCUACAAUGGGAAGGACAAAGAGCCGCGAAGCCGCGAGGUGUAGCUAAUCUCAUAAACCUUUUCGUAGUCCGGAUUGGAGUCUGCAACUCGACUCCAUGAAGCCGGAAUCGCUAGUAA